UUGAUUAUCUGCCUGCAGAAUUUUCUACCAAAAAAACAUAAAAACUCACUGCAUAUUUGUAUUCUUGGUGGUCAUAUAAUCAUAUUAUUCGAUAGCAUAUGAUGAAAUCACGAUUAUAAAUAGAAUUCUAUCUAUAUUUGUCAUUAACAGCGCUUUUAUCAUAUGUCAAUGAAUGAUUUGGUCAUGUGACCACCAAGAGCGAUAAUAUGAAGUGAGUUUUUUUAAUUGGAAACCUUUUGACCGUAGAUGACGGUAGGAUUGUAUAGAUCGCUGUGUAAUUAUACUGUCUAUAAUAGUGUUUUAAACUGUUGCACCAGUUACAUAGCACGAAACACGUGUUCUUUGUUAAUUUGAAUUUUAAAGAGAAGUUAGAUGUCACACGCAUAGAUUUUUCUGGAUAACGUAGACUUGCUGUUUAAGCGAUAAACUUUAAGCAAUAUUUUAUAUUCAAAACAGGAUAAAUUGUUGACGCAAGUACAAAUUUCAUAUAUUAAACUUUUACUAACUUAAAUUGUGAAUUGUUUUAUCGUUUAAUGAUUUUCAUUUAUGGAUAAGGCACGUACGCUGUCAAAAUAUAUGUAGUAUAGAGGUGACCUAUUGUUAAUCAAUUUGGAGUAGUCAGCCUAAAGGAAUUAACUCUAAAAAGAAGCGACUUACGGAAAGCCAUUAAUGUUAUUUAGCUAAAAAAAUGCGUGUCACUGAUAAAAAACUGUUAGUAUUCUACGCGGAUAGUGUUAUUAUCGACGUUGGGAUGUUUUAGUAAUUGGGAAAUUACUUGGUUAAUGCAAAUAAUUUAACAAUUAUAAUAAUAUUGUUUUUGUACUUCGAAGAAAAGAUUCAAUGUAAAUAACUCUGAGGUAGAUUUUUAUAACUUAAUAAAGAUUAAAAGUCUCUCAUUAUUGCUACGAUUCUGUCUUAUGACAUUAUUUAUUAGAUGUUGCAAAAUUUAAUUUUUGAAAUUUGUUAUUUUUGAAUAUUAAAAAUAACUACGCUAUUGAAUAUAUCAAAUAACAAUACCAUUGAUCUAUAUUAAUCAACUUUUAAUUAAUAUGCUAAUUUCUUUUAUUCUAAUAUUUAUAAUUACU
Molecule: long non-coding RNA, 1085 nt
Organism: Daktulosphaira vitifoliae (grape phylloxera)
Lineage: Eukaryota; Metazoa; Arthropoda; Insecta; Hemiptera; Phylloxeridae
Exons: 3
Source: RefSeq, a predicted model, not a curated record